GCCUGAGAUACAUACUUCUUUACAUUCCAUAAUCUGUCAGUUCCAUAUGGAUUUAUAAAGAAGUAUGUUACCCAAAC
Pelobates cultripes (western spadefoot toad) is the source of this 77-nucleotide non-coding RNA. Lineage: Eukaryota; Metazoa; Chordata; Amphibia; Anura; Pelobatidae. The record is from the annotation of a GenBank genome assembly.